AUUGAACGCUGGCGGCAGGCCUAACACAUGCAAGUCGAGCGGUAGAGAGGUGCUUGCAUCUCUUGAGAGCGGCGGACGUGUGAGUAAUGCCUAGGAAUCUGCCUAGUGGUGGGGGAUAACGUUCGGAAACGGACGCUAAUACCGCAUACGUCCUACGGGAGAAAGCGGGGGAUCUUCGGACCUCGCGCCAUUAGAUGAGCCUAGGUCGGAUUAGCUAGUUGGUGAGGUAAUGGCUCACCAAGGCGACGAUCCGUAACUGGUCUGAGAGGAUGAUCAGUCACACUGGAACUGAGACACGGUCCAGACUCCUACGGGAGGCAGCAGUGGGAAUAUUGGACAAUGGGCGAAAGCCUGAUCAGCCAUG
This 364-nucleotide ribosomal RNA is filed under the name uncultured bacterium. RNAcentral's name for it is "bacterial SSU rRNA". It matches the Rfam family "Bacterial small subunit ribosomal RNA", at positions 30 to 396 of the family's 1533-position model. The record is from RNAcentral.